CUUGUCUUUUACCAGCAUCCAUGGAAUUGUGGCAAACUAACUUAUUACAACUUAUGGUUAUUUUUGUGAGUGUUCUACCACUUCUAGCAUUACUCUACAUCGCCAAAUUUAGAAUAGUAUCUAGGAGACUGAAGCAACUGCUGGACUGAGAGUGAAGAAACCAGAAUUCUUCCCUGGUCUGCCAAUAAUUAACUAUUAGACAUUGAGUAGGAGGAAAUGUGAUUAACAUUCAUUGAGCAUUUACUAUGUGUAUGUCAUCCUGCCAAAUUAAUGUAUUCAUUUAAUAUGCAUACAUUCUAUCCAAAUGAAAGUUGUAGAAACUGAGGCAGAGACUGUUAAGUGUUUGUCCUGAGGUUGUAAAACUAAUUGGCGUAUUCAAGUUUUGAACCCAGGAAAUUUCCAGUUGCAGAAUGAUACUCUUAACCAAUGCUUUCUGUAUGAUGCAAAGAUUAUGAAUGUUGGAUACAGACAUACCUGUGUUAAUAUCUGGGUCUACCACUAUUCUCUUUGUGGCCCUAGGCAAAUUACUUAAACUUCUUAGCCUUAUUUUUAACAAUAUUAGAAUAUUGUACCUACUUUGAAGGAUGUUUAUGUGAAUUAAACCUGAUGAUUGAGAUGGUA
This is a long non-coding RNA of Homo sapiens (human), 621 nucleotides long. RefSeq lists it as uncharacterized. The record is from RefSeq and is a predicted model, not a curated record. Lineage: Eukaryota; Metazoa; Chordata; Mammalia; Primates; Hominidae. The transcript has 2 exons.